This is a long non-coding RNA of Zalophus californianus (California sea lion), 441 nucleotides long. RefSeq lists it as uncharacterized. Lineage: Eukaryota; Metazoa; Chordata; Mammalia; Carnivora; Otariidae. The record is from RefSeq and is a predicted model, not a curated record. The transcript is spliced from 3 exons.
UCAAAGACGUUGCUACUGGGUAGUUUUUGAGCAUCUUCCUUCUCAAUGGUGCUGAGGGACUACAGGCAGAGAUGGAAUUCUGGAAGGCUCAAUUCCCCAUCAGGGAUGAGAAAAGGUACACCCAAAGCAUUCUUCUGAUAAGACAGGCAGGAUCGACAAGCUUCCCUUGACUGUUCCAUUCGGCUGUGAGCUGAGGGGAGGCAGGUACACAGGGAAAGCCCUUCUGACGGACAGUGACCGAAGAGGAAACUCAGGGAACACAGGCAGACACCUGGCGUUUGUUCCACUGCCUCGCUUUAUUUUAAAGCUUUCUGGUUCCAGAGAAAAGGAGGAAUUCCUAGAAAGGGGGAUGGCAGAGCUAUCACUGGUCUGUUUCAGCCGUCUAGAGCGUUCGUUUAGUCCGAGUGAAGCAGGUAGCGGCAGCUGCUGAGAGAAAACCAG